GUCCACGCCGUAAACGAUGAUCACUCGCUGUUAGCGAUACACUGUUAGCGGCUAAGCAAAAGCAUUAAGUGAUCCACCUGGGGAGUACGGCCGCAAGGCUGAAACUCAAAGGAAUUGACGGGGGCCCCGCACAAGCGGAGGAACAUGUGGUUUAAUUCGAUGAUACGCGAGGAACCUUACCUGGGCUUAAAUGUAGAGUGCAUGAGGUGGAAACACUUCUUCCCUUCGGGGCUCUUUACAAGGUGCUGCAUGGUUGUCGU
RNAcentral lists this ribosomal RNA (260 nucleotides) under uncultured bacterium. RNAcentral describes it as "partial 16S ribosomal RNA". It matches the Rfam family "Bacterial small subunit ribosomal RNA", at positions 793 to 1055 of the family's 1533-position model. The record is from RNAcentral.